Zonotrichia albicollis (white-throated sparrow) is the source of this 3621-nucleotide long non-coding RNA. RefSeq lists it as uncharacterized. The record is from RefSeq and is a predicted model, not a curated record. NCBI's taxonomy places the organism in Eukaryota, Metazoa, Chordata, Aves, Passeriformes, Passerellidae.
AUCCUGCGGUGCGGCUCCAGCUCUGCUGCCCAGCCCGUGGUCGGAAGGUGGCUCUUCCUGCCGGUCCUGAGGUACCCGAGCUGCAGAAAAAGGAGCAACUGGGGAAAGAUUUCUGCAAAAGAGGUGGUGUCAACUCUAGUCCCUGGACACAGCUACUCGGUGCCUAUGUCAUGGAAACAAUAAGCUCUCAUUGGAGCAUGGCCUGAAGCCCUGGAUGUCCUGCUGUCCAGGCUCCCUCCCUGGUUUGUAUCCCAGUGUGGAGAGUGACUGGCAUUGAAUGAGAGCACAGAGUGAAGAGAGAGCAGCCUGCAGAGUCCUACAUGCUCCUCCCUCCUGCAGAAGCCCGUGGGCAGAGAGAGGAGCUGCUGGUGAACACUGACAAUGGUCAUCAAGUUCUCUGAGAUGGUCACCCAGGGCCCCUGAGAGCAUGCCAGUGUGGUAUUGGAUGUCUUCACUGAAAUCACAUUUUUCAACAGAGGGUUCAGAGGGCUGCUCAUUCUGGGUGCUGACUGAGGUCACCUGUAGAAGUGUUUGUCCCAGCUCACCUCCAGUCAGCUAAAGCUGUGCAUGCCUGACAGCUCCACUUAUUACUGGUGAAAUUUCUAUGUCAGGGCCUAGUUCUAAAUUUCAUUUUCACUGGAAGCAGGAUUAGCUCCAAGUAUACAUAAGCACAUACUUUGAAGAAUGUAUCUUUGUGCUGAAGGCAGUGUCUAUGCAGACAUUUAUAGUUAGGCACUUUACUGUAAAAAUAACAUGAGAGCAAGUGUUUUGAUGACAACAGCACUGCUAACCAGAAAGUUAUCUAAUGCUUUAUAUGCAAAUACAUGUAAAGGGUGAAAAAUUGGAUGUUUUGGUAUAAUAAUUUUUCUAUUGUGAUCAGAUAUGCAUAUACAAAUAGCUUUCAUGCUGGCAACCUGAUAAACAUGAGCAGCCAGCAACUAAUACAAAGAUGGUCUCUCCUCUAACAAAUGAGCACUAUUUGUGGUGUUUAAUACUGCAAUGAUUAGCAGUGAUGUGUAAUCCCUCUGCCCAGGACCUCCCCAGCCUGCUGGGCAGAUGUUCUUGCAGAUUUUGGCACUUGAAAGUGAAAUCUGCUCUUCCUUAACCCCCAAAUUUUCAUGAGUGACAAUGUUUUCCUCUUCCUCUUAUCUCUCAUAAUUAUUUCAGUUCUUUUUUUGACUCUGGUAACACUUCCACUUACCUUAGUCAUUGUCUUUCUGCCUCAAAUGUAAUCUUUUUUUUUUUUUUUUUUUUUUUUAAUGGAUCACAUUUGUCUCCGUAUCUUCUGCUCAGGUAGUUUUCCCACAAGUGGCACUGUUGUUCUUUGGGGUGAUGUUAGGGCUUAGGGAUGUGUUAGGAAUGCCAAAUGUCACUAGGCCUGUACAGAAUUCUUGGCCCACAGUAAAAAUAAGAGUUUCCCUAGGGACCCUGAUUAUGUGGGACAAACCAUGGAGAUUGAGGGUGAGUUUGUCAUGCUUGGGCUGAGUCUUUCAAGGGCCACGGAGAGACCAAAAAAACUUGUCCAAAAUGUCUCAUUUAGGCUAUGGUGGGUUGCCCCUGAAAGUUAUUGUCACAUGAAAGGUGCUUUUAUCCCCCCAAAAAACCUCCAAACAACAAAAACCUCACUGUUUUCAUAAUCUGUUAAAAGAUGACUGAGAGCCUAAGAGAAGAGACUGUAUUUUUCUAACAUGUUGUCAUAGUUGUGCCUGAGAACAGUCUGUGAAAAAAUAUACCUGCGGCUCAGCCUGAAAAUUGCCUCCCAACAGUUAACCAAGUUAUCACUUUCCUCUGGGAUCAAGUUGAAAUGUAAUUAAGGUUAUGUCACUUUGGAGGAGUUCACUGGUGACAUGGUGGGUAGAGGGAGGCAAGCCUGUGGAGAUGAAAUAUGCUGGAAAUUAGCAUGAGGUAUUAUGUACUCACACCAGUCUUUAGUGUGUCCUGGCAGUUUGUCAUGAGAGAGUCUCUUGAAUGGUGAUGCUUUGACUGUGACAUACAACGUGAAAAUGGGUGUUGAACAGGAAGGCAGGUGUGAUGGGGAAUUUUCUAGAGUAUUUGGUCUAAACUUAAUAUAAACAGAUUACUGGGGGCAGGGGGAAGUGUGACUAAAUAACUACUGGCAUCCUUUAUCUGUGUGGAAGCAAGAGAGCUUGUCCUUGAAGUGAGAAAUUUCUAAAGUAACAGUUUCUAAAGUAUAAUCUGCUCAGAUUUUGUUACUUCCCAGCAUGUCUAGAGGUUAGAGACUGCAUCAAAGAGAGUAAAGCCUUUUACUCUUCAUUUUUAUUGUCCGUUUUUAUAAUUAGAAUUGGAAACUGUCAUUUAGCAGCAAAUUUAAAAUAAAAACAUAACUUUCACAAAGUCCUCAAAGAAAACAAAAAAUCUUAUAGGUGUUGACACAUCCUAUCAUCAGGUUUAGAAGGUAAGUACCAGAAAAACGAUUGUUAUCAGGUGUGAAUUAACAUACAGUGAGUUUGCUCACAGCUGAAGAAGGUGACAGAUAUAACAUAUGCAUUAAUAAAAGCCCAAAUGGAAGGUAUGGCCAUAAUUAGAAAUGGUACUUGAAGAAAUGCUAUUGAUUCCAGGAACUGAAUUUAAUUUGAUGGCUUUUACUGUAAUUAACACAAUUGUUUGUAUCAGCAUAGAUCUCUUAAUAUUAUUGUCUAAGCUGACAAAUUAUAAGAUUAAAUGUUCAUUUAAGAUGUAAUUCAAAAAAUUUUAAAGACUUUCUUGAGUCAAUGUGUCUCAGUUAAUUUCUUUAAAGCUAAAGGACCUGAUUUUUUCUGCCAAUUUUCAGUGACUGAAGCUACUCCUGAUUUAUAUCAAUGCUGCAAUGAAAGCAACAUAAACAAAGGAAGCAUUCACAGGUUCUGAUGAGUUCUUGACAGCCCCUAUUGCCUAUACUUUGCAGGCUUGAAAGGUAUUUUCUUUGUAGCAUUAGAUUUUAAUGGUACUGAAUGUAACGUGCACAUAUAAUAGCAAUAAUUCACUUUUCUUGUGUUUGCGCAUUUACCUUGUCAUAUAUCUGCUAGAUGCAGGGUCUGGUUCUCUUCUCUUUUACACCUGUUUUACCCAAGGGCUGUUUAUUUUGAUGCAGUUACUCCUGAUUUAGAUCUGUGUAUAUGAAUCUGUUAUCUGCGAGAGGUAAAUUAAUGCUUUUAAUCAAGGCCACUCUUCUGCCUACCCAUCAACAUCAAAGCCUAGACAUGCUAUUAGUUAUUGAGAAAGGGAGCACAGUGUGAGUAAGCAGCCCUCAGCUAUCUCUGGAUCCCCAUUACCAGAAUUUUAGCACCAUUACCUCAAAACCAUGAAUACUUUUAUCCUCUCAGUCACUUGGAAAGGCUAUAUAGCCACAUUUUGCAGACCAAAACCACAAAGGGAAGCAGAAUUUGGACAGAAAUAAGGUGCUUAAAUCCCAGUGUAACUCUUAAGACCAUUUUCAGCAGCUGCUACCCAAAGUCUCCCUACUUGGAAGGUGGCUUUAUUGUGGAUCCCACAUACCUGAAGAUUUUUUUUUUUUUAACAUACUUUGAAGGACCCUGACCUUGUCAGGUCAUAGCAACUACCUGUUCCAAGCCUUGCUCUGUCAGAAAGGACGCCUCAGCAGGAUUCUCUCCACAGGGUGGU